GGCUCACCACCCCAGACACCCCUGGGAACCAUGGUCCCAAAGCUGUACUCACGAUGUGGUUUCCAGAACGCAGGACUUCUCAGAGGGAGGUCAUUGUGUGCGAGAGCCAUCCGGCCCGUGGCUCCUCUCCCAGCCACAUUUCUCCUGCAUCCUGGGGUUGAAACAGAAGGCCAUUCGCCAGCUUUUGGUCCUGCCUGGUGA
RNAcentral lists this long non-coding RNA (201 nucleotides) under Sus scrofa (pig). RNAcentral's name for it is "lncRNA (ENSSSCG00030068942.1)". The record is from RNAcentral. Lineage: Eukaryota; Metazoa; Chordata; Mammalia; Artiodactyla; Suidae.